CUCUCUCACUGGCAGCAACCCAGCGCUUCCAUUGCUGACCUCUACCGACCUCUACCUGUGGUCCUUCCUCUACUGCAGCAGAGACACUGUUUUCUUCCUUUGUUCUUCCAACCCCAUGGGGAAUAUCACAGAAGUGAAGUGCAAUUCUCAUCAUGUCAUAUCAAGAGCACACACUAACAAACAACAUGACUUAUUGCUGAAUAUUGAACUUGAUCACCUGGCUGAGGUAGUGUUUGCCAGAUUUCUCUGUAAAGGUGAAUAAACUGACACUGGAACAUUCAGGAACUUCUUCAUGGUCAUGGUCACCCAGCUAGAGUGUGGAAGCCAGGCUGUCUGAUUCCAGGAUCUGUGUUCUUAAUCCUAUACAUAAGGAAGCCAUAAUGAGUCAACCACUAUUUUUAAGAUUCACAGAUGUUCGGGUCCAAUUCACCAGAAUGCCAAGUUAUACAGGGUUGUGGAAUCAAAAACUGCAAUUAGUAAUAAAAUGUGAUGCUAUCUAGAAUGUUUUUCAUACAUAUAUAUGCUUCUUGGGACUCUCCCUGCAGGUUAAGAGAAAUUGAGAAACGAUGGAGAAUUUAAGUGUUUUAGAUCCUACAUACAUUAGACUUAAAAAUAGUAACUAUGUACAUGAGUAUUUGUAAACUUAAGAAUGAACAUAACAUGAACCAUGUGGCACCUAUAAAAUGAAAAUAAAAUACCUACAAACCAAAUGAGAGCAAUAAAAGAAGCUUUAAGGACUUUCACUUCAGGGAGUCUGAAUUAGAUGCGCUUCUUCCCAUUCCUCCCUCUAAUUACAACAAGCUUGGACGUUACAUACAGAACAAACAGAAGGAGUCUCUGAAAGAUGAAGAGAAGGCAAGUAAGCUACAGACUUCACAAUGUAAGGAAUAAUAUGGUGGUGAGUUACAUUUGUGAUUUUUUUUUGUCUCAUAUCCCAUAAUAUCUCAUAUCUCAUAAUCAGUUAGAAAGCACAAUGGAAAAGUAUUCCACUGCCAAUGGUGUUAGAGAACUGCUCACAAAUUCAACAGAAAUGCACAGAUACCAAAGCAGAAAGGACAAUAAACAAGAGUCUUCAUGGUCAAAAGAUUAGAAGCUGCAGCUUUCAAUGGGAGGGACAGGUUCUGGACCACACUGCAGUGCUUUUCUGCUUUCUGUGCUUUCCCACUCUAGAGCUGAAGAAGGUAACGACCCCAAAAUGUCAAUAUACGUAGACCAAAAACCAGCCCCAAUAAAAGUCUGCUCUCUCUAGCCAAAGGACUACAGUAGGGCAGCCCAGCAAGACAGAAAACCUUCAGACAACCUACCCCAGCCAAACACUACCAAAAAAAGUAAAGUGAGCCAUCACCCAAUCCACAUCAGUAAAAACUAAGUGGAAAGUCCAGACUUUCACCUCAAGAGGUUGCGACAAGCUACUCCAAUACCCCUGCUGGGAUAGUGUCACAGAAGGCUAAAUAAGGAGCUGUAAUGUUGAUUCCCCUCCAGAAGUAAAGAGUCCGUACCUGCUAUUUUCAGAGAGACCACAUGGAAAGCCUAGAUUUCAACACCUACCCAGCAUUAAUGAGGUAUUCCUUCCCUUCUUUACUCUCUGGUGUCAAAGAAGCUCCAUGCAGAGUCAGAAUGUUUGGCAUUACUCCUCAGUAGGGAGGCCACCCCCACCACGGUGUUAGUGGAGACCAUGUGAGGACCAGGACUUGUACCCUGCCCAGAAGUAAUGAGUAGACCCCCCUCUACAGGAAGGCCAAAGGGCAACCUAAACUUCUACCUCUCUCUGGCAGUAAUAAAGUAGGGCCUCACUUUUCCCUGCUGAGCAAUGUCAAAAAAAAAAGCCAGCUGAAGUAAAAGCUUAUUUCUUUCUUUCUUUAUACAUAUUUUUGGAGACAGGGUCUUAUUCUGUCACCCACGCUGGAGUACAGUGGCCUCAUCAGGUCUCACUGCAGCCUCAACCUCCUGGGCUCAAGCAAUCCUCCCACCUCAGCCUCUUGAGUAGCUGAGACCACAGAUGUGCACCACCACACAUAGCUAACAUUAACAUUUUUUCUAGAGAUGGGGUCUUCCUGUGUUGCCCAGGCUGGUCUGGAACUCCUGGGCUCAAGUGAUCCUCCCACCUUGACCUCCUGGAGGGCUGGGAUUACAGGUAUGAGUCAUCACUCCAGGCUGAAGCUUUAUAUAAUAACCAGAGUCUCAUAUUACAAAAUGUCAAAGAUUCAGUCAAAAGUUACUUGAUAUCAAUGGACAAGAUCUCAAACUAAAUGAAAAAAAGACAAUUAAUAGAUGCUAACACUGAGAUAACAAAGUUGUUAGAAUCAUCUAACAAAGAUUUUAAAGCAGCUAUAAUAAAAGUGCUACUGCAAGUGAUUAUAAACAUGCUUGAGACAAAUGAAAAAGUGCUAUAAAGCUAAGAAAUAAAAUAUAUAAAUAAGAAUCAAAGAGAAAUUAUAGAACUAAAAGAUACCAUAACUGAAAUGCAAAGCUCCGUGGAUGGACUCAACAACAGAAUGGAAAAGACUGAGGAAAGAAGUAGUUUACAGGAAAUUAGAAUAGACUAGAAAAAAUGAACAAGACCCUGUGCUAAAGAGCAAAUAUUUAUGUCAUUGGAUUCCAGGAAAGAGAAAAGAAUGAAAAAGUACUUAAAUAAUGGCUUAAAAACUUCUCACAUUUUGCAAAGAUUUAAACCUACAAUUUGAGAAGCUGGGUAAACCUUAAACAGGAUAAAUCAAGGACACUCACACCAAGAAACAUAGUAAUUAAACUUCUGAUUAAGGAAGAAAAAGAAAAAUCUGGAAAGCAGCAAGAAAAAAAUGACACACUUUCUAUAUGGUAAAAGCAAUUUGAACAACAGAAGAUUUCUCAUCAGAAACUGUGGGGACCAUGAGGAAGUAACAGAUAUUUUUCAAGUGCUGAAAUAAAUCAACUGUCAAUACAAAAUGCUCUACUCAGUGAAAAUAUCUUUCAGGAAUAAAGGGGAAAUCAGGACACGCACAGACUUUUUUUAAAUUAAGAAUUUAUUGUCAGCUUAUCUCCCUAAAAGAAUGGCUAACAUUCUCCAAACACGAAGGAAAUUGAUAAGGAAUCUUGAAAUUUCAGUUAGAAACAAUGAAUAUGGCAAGCAAAAUGUAGGUCAGUACACUAAGUUUAAUUUCUCCUCUUGAAUUUUCUAAAUUAUGACUUAUGAUUGAAGCAAAAAUCAUAACAUUAUCUGAUGUAUAUGUAGAGGAAAGAUUUAAGACAGUGAUGUUAUAAAUGAGGGGAGUAAAGGAACAUGAGAUAACCACUAAUAUGACAUACCAAUAGACUAUGAUAAAUUAUGUGUCUAAUGUGAUUACUAGAAAAACCAGUUAAAAUAUAAAGAUUGACGGAGUGAAUUUAAAAACAUGACACACUAUAUGCUGUUUAUCAUAAACUCACUUUGAAGAUAAUGCCAUCGUCAGGUUGAAAUCAAAAGGAAUAAAAUAGUGUAUUAUGUAAACCAUCAAAAAGAGCAGGAAUGGCCAUAUUAAUAACAUUAAAGUCAGCUUCAGAACUAAGGAAAUUAUCAGAGAGGGACAUUAUAUAAUGAAAUAGUCGAUUUACCAAAAGAACAUAGCAAUCAUAAAUGUGCAUGAAGCAAACAACAAAGCUGGAAAAUAUAUGAAGUGAAACUGAUAGAUCUAAAAGGAGAAACAGAUAAAUCCAUUCAUUAUAGUUGGGGCCUUUAUCACCCCUCACUCAACAAUUGAUAGAACUGGACAGAAAACCAGUAAGAAUAUAAAAGAACUCAACAACAUGAGACAAUAGGAUCUAGUUGAUAUUUAUAGAACAUUCCAACAGCAGAAUACAUGUUCUUCAAGUGCUCACAGAACACACAUAUAAAGAUAGACCCUGAGCAUAAAACAAGCCUCAACAAAUUUAAAAGAACUGAAAUACUACAAGUACUUUCUCCAACCACAAAAGAACCAAACUAGAAAUAAAUAACAAUGAUAAUGGGAAAAUCACCAAACACUUGAAAACUGAACAACAAUAUUUUAUAACCCAUGGUCAUAGAGGAAAUCUCAAAAGAAAUUUUAAAAAUGCACUGAACUGAAUGAAAAUGAAAACAACAUAAAAUUUGUGAGACACAUAAAGCAGAACUGAUGGGAAAAUAUAUAGCACUAAAUGCAUGCUCUAGAAAAGAAAAGUCUUCAACCAGUAACCUAAGCUUCCACCUCAAAAACCUAAAAAAAGAAGGAAAAAUAGACCCAAUGCCAGCAGAAAGAUGCAAUAACAAAGAGUAGAACUCAAUGAAAUUGAAAACAGAUAAACACUUUAAAGAAUAAAACAAAGAGCUGGUUAUUAGAAAAGAUCAAUUAAUUGAUAAACCUCAAGCAAGACCGUCAAAAAAAAAAAAAAAAGGACUUACCUAUACCAGAGAUGAAAUGGGAUAUCGCUAUCAAUACUGCAAACAUCAAAAGGAUAAGUAGAUACUAUGAACUGUACACACAUUAAUCUGACAAUUUAGACAAAAUAGAUCAUUUCCCUAGAAAACACAAACUACUACAGCUUACCCAAUAUAAAAUAGAUUAUUUGAAUAGCCUUAUAAGUACUAAAAAAAAAUUAAUUAAACUCAUUAUUUAAAAAUUCCUAAAAAGAAAGCCUCCAGAGCCAAAUUGUUUCCUUCAGAAUUCCACCACAUUCAUAAAGAUUUGACAGCAAUUCUAUACAGUCUCUUUGAGAAAAUAGAAGGGGGUAUUUUCUAAUUCAUUUUAAGGAGCUAGUAAAUACCCUGAUACUGAAAUGUAUACUGCAAAUUGAUAAAAUUAUAGACCCCUGCAUAUUAAAUUUCAAAAUAAAAAUGAUAAAAAUACUUGGGUAAUGAAUAACAGCAUAACAAAAAACCACAGACCAAUAUCUCAUGAACAUAGACACAAAAAAUGCUUCACAAUAUGACAUAGAAUUCAGUAAUACAUGAGAAUUAUAUACCACAACCCAGUAAGACUUAAUCCAAGAAUGGAAGACUGGCUCAAUAUUUAAAAAUCAAUCGAUGUAGUGCAAAUAUUAAUAGCUAAUGAAGAAAUGUCAUAAAAUUAAUGCAGAAAAAGGAUUUGACAAAAUUCAACACUCAUUUAUGUAAAAAUGCUCUGAAAAAUAGGAAUUAAAGGACACCUACAAGAAACUUUCAGCUAACAUAAUUCUUAAUGCUGAAUGAUUGAAUGUUUUCUUCCUGAGCUUGAGAAUAAGGUGAGGGUAUCAUCCCUAAUGACGCUUAUUCAACAUAGUGCUCAAAGUUCUAUGAAGUGCAAUUAGGCAAUAAAGGGAAAUAAAAGACAGGUAAAAGAAGAAAUUAAAUUUUAUUUGAAAAAGCUGAUUGUCUACCUAGAAAAUCUCAAGGAAAACACUAUUAAUAUACAGAACAACCUGAAUGAAUCUUUGGAGAAUUACGCUGCAUCAGAAAAAGCCAAUCACAAAAGAUUACAUACUAUGUAAUUCCAUUUGUAUAACAUUUUGAACUGACAAAAGUAUAGAAAUGAACAGAUUAGUGGUUGUUAGGGGUGAGGGGUUAUGGGUCAGAGAUAGGAGUUGGGGAUAUAAAAAGGCAACCUGAGGGAUCCUUAUGGUGAUUGAAACAUUCUGUAUGUUGGUUCUAUCAAUGUCAAUACUCUGGUUGGACUAUGGUUCCACAGUUUUGCAAGAUGUUAUUGAGGAAAACGGCAUAAAUGGUGCCCAGGAUCUCUCUAUUGUUUCUUACUGAUUAUGUAUCUGCAAUGAUUGCAAAAUAAAAAGGUUUAAUUUUUAAAAAGGAUUAAACAUUACAUAGCAUACACUUGAGUAAAAGACAAAAUCUGGCUAAGGAUUAUUUUUGUCCUAAGUAAUAUGUGGAUUUUGUACAACAUAAAUCACAAUCCCCUAAAAUCUAUAUUGUAAAUUGAUAAAAUGUAAAACCUGUGUAUUACAGAAUAAAAGAUGAACAAAAAUUACAAAACA
RNAcentral lists this long non-coding RNA (5937 nucleotides) under Homo sapiens (human). Its description in RNAcentral is "uncharacterized LOC105379362, transcript variant 2 (LOC105379362)". Lineage: Eukaryota; Metazoa; Chordata; Mammalia; Primates; Hominidae. The record is from RNAcentral.